Molecule: long non-coding RNA, 2273 nt
Filed under: Pan troglodytes (chimpanzee)
Lineage: Eukaryota; Metazoa; Chordata; Mammalia; Primates; Hominidae
Description: long non-coding RNA NONPTRT008798
Source: RNAcentral
CAAGAGGCUGCCGGAAGGGAAAAACGGGGACUGGAAAGGCCGUUGUGAGGAAUGAGCUGGGCCUAAAGAGGCCACUGGCAGGCAGUAGCUGGACCUGCCGAAGUGGCCGAAAGGCAGGAGCUUUGGACUGGGGAGGUCACAGUGAGGCGAGAGCUAGCUGGGCGUGGAGAGUCCGCAGUGAGGCCGAGGCCGAGGCCGGGCCCGUGCAGGCCUUCGAGAGGCAGGAGGCCGGGCCUGCAAAGGCCGACUGGAGAUCAAGUUCUGCGCCUGAAGAGGCUGCCAAAAGUCAAAAGCGGGGCCUGGGAAGGCCGCCGACAGCCAUGAGCUGGGCUGGGCCGAAAGAGGCCACUGGGAGGCAGGAGGAGCUGGGCCUGGAGAGGCUGACUCGAGGAAGUUUUGCACCUGGAGAGGCCGCCGAGAGGACGGAGCUGGGCCCGGGGAGGCCGACUUGCUGCUCUUCCAGGCCCACUUCCAGGCUGACUUGAGCCUGCAGAGGCCGCCGGGAGGCCCAAGCUGGGCCUAGAGGAGCCCACCAACCGGAGGCCGUUUGGGGCCUGCAGAUGCCAUCAGAGGGCAGGAGCUGAGCCUGGAGAGGCCACCGCGAGGCCUGAGCUGGGCCUGGGGAGCUUGGCUUAGGGAAGUUGUGGGCCUACCAGGGCCGCUGGGAGCUGAGUCCAAAGACGUUGUUGAGACCUGGAGUCGGCCCAGAGUCCGGCCCGGAGAUGCAGCCAGGAGGAAGAGCUGGGCCCGGAGAGGAUGCCGGGAGGCUGCAAGUGCGUCUGAGAGGCCAAUUUGAGGAGGCCUGGCCUCCGCCUCCCGCAUGGCCCAGCUGUUCCUCCUGGCUGCAUCUCCCACCUCCCAGCAAACAAGCUCUUUUGGCUCAGCUCCCGCCUGCGUUUGUAGACCCCAAAGUUUCUGCAACCAAGCUCUUCAGACCCACAUCCCUUCUCCCAGUGACUGAACAGUCCCAGCUCCGGCUGGAGACGGGCGUCUGCAGACCCCGCUGUUGCCGCCCAGGGGAGUCUCCAGGCCCCUGGGAGGCAAGGGCGGGGCCUGCAGAGGCUGUUCCCCAACCAGUGCUAGGCCCGUACAGGCCACCAGGAGGCAGGAAGUGGGCCCUCAGAGCUUGGCUGGAGAAAGUUCGGGGCCUACAAAGGCGGUUGGGAGCUGGGCAGGAGUUGAGCCAAAAGAGCUUGCUUACUUGCUGGGAGGCAGGCCCGGGAGAGGCCGACUUCAGGACAACUUGGGCCUGCGGCGGUUGCCGGGAGGCCCCAGCUUGGCGUGGAGGAGCCCACCAACCGGAGACCAUUUCGGGCCUGGAGAUGCCAUCGGAGGGCAGGAGCUCAUCCUGGAGAGGCCACCGUGAGGCCUGACCUGGGCCUGGGGAGCUUGGCUUGAGGAAGCUGUGGGCCGACCAAGGCCGCCAGGAGAUGGAUAGGCACUGAGUCCAAAGAGGUUGUUGAGAGGCAGAAGUCGGGCCUGGAGAGGUCAACUUGAGGAGAUUUUGGGCCUUCAUAGGCCACCAGGAGGCAGCAGUUGGGACUAGAGAGUCUGACGUGAGUAAGUUUUGGGCCCGGAGAUGACGUCCUGGAACAGGAGUUGGGCCUGGAGAGGCCACCGUGAGGCAUAAGCUGGAUGUAGAGAGGCCAGUGUGAGGCAAAACCUGGGCCUGUCUAGGCUGCUGGGAGACAGGCAGGAAUCUGGCCAGGGAAGGUUGCCAUGAGACAAAAGUUGGGCCUGGAAAGGCCCUUGUGAAGCAUGAGCUUCGCCUAAAGAGGCCACUGGGUGGCAGGAGCUGGGUGUGUAGAAGCUACUGAAAGGUUGGGAGCUUGGCUUGGGGGGUCCACAGUGAGACAGAUGCUGGGCGUGCAGAAUCUGCUGUGAGGCAGAUGUUGGGAAUGUAGAGGCUGACGGGAGGCAGAGGCUGGGCCUGGAGGGGCCACCAAGAUGCAGGAGCUGGGCCUGAGGAGGCUGCAAAGAAGCAUGAGCUGGGCCUGGUGAGGUCGACUUGACAAAGUUCAGGGCCUGGAGAGAAGGCUGGGAGGCAGGAGCUGGGUCUAAAGAGGCCAUUGUAACGAUGGAGCUGUGCCUGUGGAGGCUGUUGUGAGGCAGUAGCCUCAUCUGCGGAGACUGCCGUGACGUAGGGUAUGGGCCUAAAUAGGCCAUGGUGAGUCAUGAGCUUGGUCUGUAGAGGCUGACUGGAGAAAGUUCUGGGCCUGGAGAGGCUGCCGGGAGGUAGGAGCUGGGCCAAAAGAUGUAAGCACAUUUGCAUU